This is a non-coding RNA of Microcebus murinus (gray mouse lemur), 383 nucleotides long. NCBI's taxonomy places the organism in Eukaryota, Metazoa, Chordata, Mammalia, Primates, Cheirogaleidae. The record is from RefSeq and is a predicted model, not a curated record.
UUGUAGAGAUGGGGUCUCGUUUUGUUGCCUAGAGCUGAUCUUGAAAUUCCUGGCCUCAAGGGAUCCUCCUGCCUUGGCCUCCCAAGGUGCUGAGAUUACAGCAGGAAUGGACUAUGCUAUACACCACGGAGGGGCAUUGCUGCUACAGUGCCCAGUGGAGAGUGUCAUGGAUGGUCCCAGCUUUUGGGCAGCCAGCAAAGGGCCCCAUCCAGCCCAUCUCAUGGCUUCCAUGCUAGACCCCCUAAUCCAGCAUGCUGUGGUCUCCGAGCCCAGGGAAAGGCCCUCCCUCCAAACACCAGUUUGGGGACAGGUGAGCAGGUUGGAAGAAACUCCAUUCGGAGGACUCGCCAGGCCUCUUCCUAACCGAGCACUCACCCGUCUCG